This 338-nucleotide ribosomal RNA is filed under the name Bacteroides ovatus. RNAcentral describes it as "bacterial SSU rRNA". It matches the Rfam family "Bacterial small subunit ribosomal RNA", at positions 1 to 329 of the family's 1533-position model. The record is from RNAcentral. Lineage: Bacteria; Pseudomonadati; Bacteroidota; Bacteroidia; Bacteroidales; Bacteroidaceae.
ACAAUGAAGAGUUUGAUCCUGGCUCAGGAUGAACGCUAGCUACAGGCUUAACACAUGCAAGUCGAGGGGCAGCAUUUUAGUUUGCUUGCAAACUAAAGAUGGCGACCGGCGCACGGGUGAGUAACACGUAUCCAACCUGCCGAUAACUCGGGGAUAGCCUUUCGAAAGAAAGAUUAAUAUCCGAUGGUAUAUUAAAACCGCAUGGUUUUACUAUUAAAGAAUUUCGGUUAUCGAUGGGGAUGCGUUCCAUUAGUUUGUUGGCGGGGUAACGGCCCACCAAGACUACGAUGGAUAGGGGUUCUGAGAGGAAGGUCCCCCACAUUGGAACUGAGACACGG